Molecule: long non-coding RNA, 484 nt
Filed under: Glycine max (soybean)
Lineage: Eukaryota; Viridiplantae; Streptophyta; Magnoliopsida; Fabales; Fabaceae
Description: long non-coding RNA (GMAX_LNC002645)
Source: RNAcentral
AGAGAGGGGUGAGAGGGUCUAGUAGCCCGCCCAGUGUCGCGGCCCAGGAGCUCGGCCCACGUGGGCUCCGUGACGUCUGUGGCGGCCAUUGGAAGAAGAAGAAGGGAGUUUGUGACUGUGUGUGCGUGGUGGGAUGAGGAAUUGAGAGAGAUAUAUGAGAAUGAGAUAAUAUGAAUAAUGACUGGCUGGUUUAUGAAAGGGUUGUCAUGGAUAUGGAUGUGGUUGACCCACCAUUCAUGGAGUAUAUUGUCUGUAUAGCUACAUGGCUGUUCUCGAUUUCACAUGUGCCCUUUCUCUAUCCAUCCUCUUCGAUUAUAAGAUAAGAAUUUAUUUAGAUUCUAAUUAAAGUGUUAGUUUAAUCAUAAUGUCUUAAAUUUAAAAUUUGUAUAUAGAAAAAAAAAAUCGCGAUUAAAAGGAAUGAUUUUACCAUCGGUUAUUUAAUAGAUAUUACUCGAUGAAUAAAGUUUAGAUUAUUUUGGUUUAA